AUUGAACGCUGGCGGAAAGCUUUACACAUGCAAGUCGAACGGUAGAGGGGGGCAACCCCCUUGAGAGUGGCGAACGGGUGAGUAAUAUAUCGGAACGUGCCCAGUCGUGGGGGAUAACGUAGCGAAAGCUACGCUAAUACCGCAUACGAUCUAUGGAUGAAAGCGGGGGAUCGCAAGACCUCGCGCGAUUGGAGCGGCCGAUAUCAGAUUAGGUAGUUGGUGAGGUAAAGGCUCACCAAGCCGACGAUCUGUAGCUGGUCUGAGAGGACGACCAGCCACACUGGGACUGAGACACGGCCCAGACUCCUACGGGAGGCAGCAGUGGGGAAUUUUGGACAAUGGGCGCAAGCCUGAUCCAGCAAUGCCGCGUGCAGGAUGAAGGCCU
Molecule: ribosomal RNA, 385 nt
Filed under: uncultured bacterium
Lineage: Bacteria
Description: bacterial SSU rRNA
Rfam family: Bacterial small subunit ribosomal RNA
Source: RNAcentral